Molecule: long non-coding RNA, 338 nt
Organism: Juglans microcarpa x Juglans regia
Lineage: Eukaryota; Viridiplantae; Streptophyta; Magnoliopsida; Fagales; Juglandaceae
Exons: 4
Source: RefSeq, a predicted model, not a curated record
GCAUGAAAGCCUUGUCAAGAACUUGCAAUUGUCUAUGUAUGCAUGUUUUCAAAAGAAAGAUUAUGUGAUUAAUAAGUUAACGGCAUGGUGUACUGCUUACUGAGUAUUAGACUCACUUUGUGUUUAUGUUUUAAACGUUCAAGUAUGAACGAUGAGGCUGGGGAGCUAGGCACUGCUGAGGAAGGAAGGGCUGAUGCUUAGAAUUCCCUGUUGGUUCAAUUUUAAUGAUAAUAGUUAUGUCUUUAUGUUUUUAUGAUGGGUUCCAUGUUGGGACGUUUUGUUGGUUUGACUUUAAUACAAUAUGUCCUUGGAUAAGAAGUAGUUAUUGUGGUGGAGUG